GCCGAAGGCGGGGGAUAACCACUGGAAACGGUGGCUAAUACCGCAUAAUCUCUAAGGAGCAAAGCGGGGGACCAUUCUGGCCUCACACCUUCGGAUGAACCCAUAUGAGAUUAGUUAGUAGGUGGGGUAAUGGCUCACCUAGGCGACGAUCUCUAGCUGGUCUGAGAGGAUGAUCAGCCACACUGGGACUGAGACACGGCCCAGACUCCUACGGGAGGCAGCAGUGGGGAAUAUUGCACAAUGGGCGUAAGCCUGAUGCAGCCAUGCCGCGUGUAUGAAGAAGGCCUUCGGGUUGUAAAGUACUUUCAGUCGUGAGGAAG
This 320-nucleotide ribosomal RNA is filed under the name Arsenophonus endosymbiont of Bemisia tabaci Asia II 3. Its description in RNAcentral is "bacterial SSU rRNA". It matches the Rfam family "Bacterial small subunit ribosomal RNA", at positions 129 to 450 of the family's 1533-position model. The record is from RNAcentral. Lineage: Bacteria; Pseudomonadati; Pseudomonadota; Gammaproteobacteria; Enterobacterales; Morganellaceae.